GACGAGCGCUGGCGGCGUGCCUAAUACAUGCAAGUUGAGCGCUGAAGGUUGGUACUUGUACCAACUGGAUGAGCAGCGAACGGGUGAGUAACGCGUGGGGAAUCUGCCUUUGAGCGGGGGACAACAUUUGGAAACGAAUGCUAAUACCGCAUAAAAACUUUAAACAAAAGUUUUAAGUUUGAAAGAUGCAAUUGCAUCACUCAAAGAUGAUCCCGCGUUGUAUUAGCUAGUUGGUGAGGUAAAGGCUCACCAAGGCGAUGAUACAUAGCCGACCUGAGAGGGUGAUCGGCAACAUUGGGACUGAGACACGGCCCAAACUCCUACGGGAGGCAGCAGUAGGGAAUCUUCGGCAAUGGACGAAAGUCUGACCGAGCAACGCCGCGUGAGUGAAGAAGGUUUUCGGAUCGUAAAACUCUGUUGGUAGAGAAGAACGUUGGUGAGAGUGGAAAGCUCAUCAAGUGACGGUAACUACCCAGAAAGGGACGGCUAACUACGUG
Molecule: ribosomal RNA, 497 nt
Filed under: uncultured bacterium
Lineage: Bacteria
Description: partial 16S ribosomal RNA
Rfam family: Bacterial small subunit ribosomal RNA
Source: RNAcentral